This 429-nucleotide ribosomal RNA is filed under the name Actinomycetes bacterium. Its description in RNAcentral is "Actinobacteria bacterium partial 16S ribosomal RNA". It matches the Rfam family "Bacterial small subunit ribosomal RNA", at positions 355 to 776 of the family's 1533-position model. The record is from RNAcentral. Lineage: Bacteria; Bacillati; Actinomycetota; Actinomycetes.
UAGGGAAUCUUCCGCAAUGGGCGAAAGCCUGACGGAGCAACGCCGCGUGAGUGAUGAAGGUCUUCGGAUCGUAAAACUCCGUUAGUAGGGAAGAACAAAUGUGUAAGUAACUAUGCACGUCUUGACGGUACCUAAUCAGAAAGCCACGGCUAACUACGUGCCAGCAGCCGCGGUAAUACGUAGGUGGCAAGCGUUAUCCGGAAUUAUUGGGCGUAAAGCGCGCGUAGGCGGUUUUUUAAGUCUGAUGGGAAAGCCCACGGCUCAACCGUGGAGGGUCAUUGGAUACUGGAAAACUUGAGUGCAGAAGAGGAAAGUGGAAUUCCAUGUGUAGCGGUGAAAUGCGCAGAGAUAUGGAGGAACACCAGUGGCGAAGGCGACUUUCUGGUCUGUAACUGACGCUGAUGUGCGAAAGCGGGGGGAUCAAACAGG